ACCGAGCAGGGUGUUUACCCGGCGGAGCCUUCCAUGCAAGUCGAACGGUACAGGUCUUCGGAUGCUGACGAGUGGCGAACGGGUGAGUAAUACAUCGGAACGUGCCCGAUCGUGGGGGAUAACGAGGCGAAAGCUUUGCUAAUACCGCAUAAGAUCUAUGGAUGAAAGCAGGGGACCGCAAGGCCUUGCGCGAACGGAGCGGCCGAUGGCAGAUUAGGUAGUUGGUGGGGUAAAGGCUUACCAAGCCUACGAUCUGUAGCUGGUCUGAGAGGACGACCAGCCACACUGGGACUGAGACACGGCCCAGACUCCUACGGGAGGCAGCAGUGGGGAAUUUUGGACAAUGGGCGCAAGCCUGAUCCAGCCAUGCCGCGUGCAGGAUGAAGGCCUUCGGGUUGUAAACUGCUUUUGUACGGAACGAAAAGCCUUCUUCUAAUAAAGGGAGGUCAUGACUGUACCGUAAGAAUAAGCACCGGCUAACUACGUGCCAGCAGCCGCGGUAAUACGUAGGGUGCAAGCGUUAAUCGGAAUUACUGGGCGUAAAGCGUGCGCAGGCGGUGAUGUAAGACAGAUGUGAAAUCCCCGGGCUCAACCUAGGAACUGCAUUUGUGACUGCAUCGCUGGAGUACGGCAGAGGGGGAUGGAAUUCCGCGUGUAGCAGUGAAAUGCGUAGAUAUGCGGAGGAACACCGAUGGCGAAGGCAAUCCCCUUGUGCCUGUACUGACGCUCAUGCACUAAAGCGUGGGGAGCCACACAGGGAUUAGAUACCUCUGUUAGUCCAU
This 782-nucleotide ribosomal RNA is filed under the name uncultured prokaryote. Its description in RNAcentral is "bacterial SSU rRNA". It matches the Rfam family "Bacterial small subunit ribosomal RNA", at positions 1 to 798 of the family's 1533-position model. The record is from RNAcentral.